RNAcentral lists this ribosomal RNA (1217 nucleotides) under Heyndrickxia coagulans. RNAcentral describes it as "bacterial SSU rRNA". It matches the Rfam family "Bacterial small subunit ribosomal RNA", at positions 168 to 1369 of the family's 1533-position model. The record is from RNAcentral. Lineage: Bacteria; Bacillati; Bacillota; Bacilli; Caryophanales; Bacillaceae.
ACCGGAUAGUUUUUUCCUCCGCAUGGAGGAAAAAGGAAAGACGGCUUCUGCUGUCACUUACAGAUGGGCCCGCGGCGCAUUAGCUAGUUGGUGGGGUAACGGCUCACCAAGGCAACGAUGCGUAGCCGACCUGAGAGGGUGAUCGGCCACAUUGGGACUGAGACACGGCCCAAACUCCUACGGGAGGCAGCAGUAGGGAAUCUUCCGCAAUGGACGAAAGUCUGACGGAGCAACGCCGCGUGAGUGAAGAAGGCCUUCGGGUCGUAAAACUCUGUUGCCGGGGAAGAACAAGUGCCGUUCGAACAGGGCGGCGCCUUGACGGUACCCGGCCAGAAAGCCACGGCUAACUACGUGCCAGCAGCCGCGGUAAUACGUAGGUGGCAAGCGUUGUCCGGAAUUAUUGGGCGUAAAGCGCGCGCAGGCGGCUUCUUAAGUCUGAUGUGAAAUCUUGCGGCUCAACCGCAAGCGGUCAUUGGAAACUGGGAGGCUUGAGUGCAGAAGAGGAGAGUGGAAUUCCACGUGUAGCGGUGAAAUGCGUAGAGAUGUGGAGGAACACCAGUGGCGAAGGCGGCUCUCUGGUCUGUAACUGACGCUGAGGCGCGAAAGCGUGGGGAGCAAACAGGAUUAGAUACCCUGGUAGUCCACGCCGUAAACGAUGAGUGCUAAGUGUUAGAGGGUUUCCGCCCUUUAGUGCUGCAGCUAACGCAUUAAGCACUCCGCCUGGGGAGUACGGCCGCAAGGCUGAAACUCAAAGGAAUUGACGGGGGCCCGCACAAGCGGUGGAGCAUGUGGUUUAAUUCGAAGCAACGCGAAGAACCUUACCAGGUCUUGACAUCCUCUGACCUCCCUGGAGACAGGGCCUUCCCCUUCGGGGGACAGAGUGACAGGUGGUGCAUGGUUGUCGUCAGCUCGUGUCGUGAGAUGUUGGGUUAAGUCCCGCAACGAGCGCAACCCUUGACCUUAGUUGCCAGCAUUCAGUUGGGCACUCUAAGGUGACUGCCGGUGACAAACCGGAGGAAGGUGGGGAUGACGUCAAAUCAUCAUGCCCCUUAUGACCUGGGCUACACACGUGCUACAAUGGAUGGUACAAAGGGCUGCGAGACCGCGAGGUUAAGCCAAUCCCAGAAAACCAUUCCCAGUUCGGAUUGCAGGCUGCAACCCGCCUGCAUGAAGCCGGAAUCGCUAGUAAUCGCGGAUCAGCAUGCCGCGGUGAAUAC